This 467-nucleotide ribosomal RNA is filed under the name uncultured bacterium. RNAcentral describes it as "bacterial SSU rRNA". It matches the Rfam family "Bacterial small subunit ribosomal RNA", at positions 329 to 793 of the family's 1533-position model. The record is from RNAcentral.
CCCCAGACUCCUACGGGAGGCAGCAGUGAGGAAUAUUGGUCAAUGGUCGGGAGACUGAACCAGCCAAGCCGCGUGAGGGAUGAAGGUACAGAGUAUCGUAAACCUCUUUUGUCAGGGAACAAAGGCGGGGACGUGUCCCCGGAUGAGUGUGCCUGAAGAAAAAGCAUCGGCUAACUCCGUGCCAGCAGCCGCGGUAAUACAUAGGGAGCAAGCGUUAUCCGGAUUUAUUGGGUGUAAAGGGUGCGUAGACGGGAAAUUAAGUUAGUUGUGAAAUCCCUCGGCUUAACUGAGGAACUGCAACUAAAACUGAUUUUCUUGAGUACUGGAGAGGAAAGUGGAAUUCCUAGUGUAGCGGUGAAAUGCGUAGAUAUUAGGAGGAACACCAGUGGCGAAGGCGACUUUCUGGACAGUAACUGACGUUGAGGCACGAAAGUGUGGGGAGCAAACAGGAUUAGAUACCCCGGUAU